Eriocheir sinensis (Chinese mitten crab) is the source of this 2523-nucleotide long non-coding RNA. RefSeq lists it as uncharacterized. Lineage: Eukaryota; Metazoa; Arthropoda; Malacostraca; Decapoda; Varunidae. The transcript is spliced from 3 exons. The record is from RefSeq and is a predicted model, not a curated record.
CUCCCCCCAAAAAAAUCAUGUGUUGCUCUCCCUCUCUCGCAGUGUUACCAAAAAAAAGUCUUGCAGUGUUGCCCCACCCCCCAAAAAAUCAUAUAGUGUUGCUCUCCCUCUUUCGCAGUGUUGCCAAAAAAGUCUUGCAGUGUUGCCCUCCCCCCAAAAUCAUGUAGUGUUGUUCCUACUCUCUUCAAGUGUUCCCAUAAAAAGUCAGUCUAGUGUUGCGUGUAGGCGGGACAAGUGACAAUCAUGCUGAGUGUUGCAGGCGGGGACUAAAGGUGUGUUGCAGCCUUCCCCGUGUGUUGUAAAGGUGUUAUGGGCAGUACCGCGGUGUUGACGGCAGUGUUACGACGUGGAAAGUGUUCUAUAGCCUGGGUUAGUGUUGCCGUGUGUUGCGGGUGGAGGGCAGUUUUACAAGGCGUUAGAAAAAAAGGAUUAUGUGUUGCGGGCCUCAAAAAUGUGUUGCUAGUUAUUACAAUGAUAAAAAAAUGAAGCAAUAGGUGUUGCUAGUGUGUUGCAGGCUUAUGAAAUGUGUUGGAAGGCGUUAAAUGAAAUAAAUAAUGCGAUAAUAGGUGUUGCUAGUGUGUUGCGGGCUAAUAAAAUGUGUUGCAAGGCGUUAAGUGAAUUAAAUAAUGCGAUGAUAGGUGUUGCUAGUGUGUUGCGGGCUAAUAAAAUGUGUUGCAAGGCGUUAAAUGAAAUAAAUAAUGCGAUGAUAGGUGUUGCUAGUGUGUUGCGGGCUAAUAAAAUGUGUUGCAAGGCGUUAAAUGAAAUAAAUAAUGCGAUGAUAGGUGUUGCUAGUGUGUUGCCGGACAAAGAUAUGUGUUGCAAGGCGUUAAGUAGAUAAAAAAAUGCAUGGAUGAAAUGUUGAUUGUGUGUUGCAGUGUUAGAUAAUAUGCUGAAAGGGGUUAAAGGAAUAUAAAUAAUGCGAUAAUAAGUGUUGCAGUGUUGCGGACCAGGAAAAAUAUAUUGCAAGUCGUUAAAUGAUUACAAAUAUGCGAUAAUUAGUGUUACGGUAUUUUCUAGUAGUUGGUUCGGUAAAAAUGUGUUGCAAUGUGUUAGAUGAAUUCAGAAAAGCAUUAAAAAGUGUUGCAGUGUGUUGCGGGCAGUAGAAAAGGAAGGGUGAUGAAGAUGAAAGUAAAUCCUAUGGUCUCAAGGUUUCUGAAAUGCGUGUGUGGUAUCUAGUUAUCUGAUUCGUUAUCUAGAAACCGAAAUAGUCAUCUAACUUCAUAUCAGAAAGAGAAAAUGACAAAAAAAGGCCGCUGGUGAUUGUUGUAAAGAAGAAACCGUGUACCAAGCGUUCUCAUGGUAUCUAAAAUGCGUGUGUGGUAUCUAGUUUUCUAAUUCGUUAUCUAGAAACCCAAAUAGUCAAUCUCUAACUUCACAAUAGAAAGAGAAUUGCGGUAGGGAAGAAACCAUGUACCAAGCAUUCUCAAGGUUUCUAAAAUGCGUGUGUGGUUUCUAGGUUCUCUACUCGUUAUUUAGAAACCCAAAUAGUCAAUCUCUAACUUCACAAUAGAAAGAGAAUCGUGAUAGGGAAGAAACCAUGUACCAAGCAUUCUCAAGGUUUCUAAAAUGCGUGUGUGGUUUCUGGUUCUCUAUCCGUCAACUAGAAACCCAAAUAGUCAUCUAACUUAAUAUCAGAAAGAGAAAAUGGAAAUAAAAAGGCCAGUGAUGAUUGUGGUAAGGAAGAAACCAUGUCCAAACCGUUCUCAAGGUAUCUAAAAUGCGUGUGUGUGUGAGCUCCCGUUCUCAAUUCGUUAUCUAGAAACCCAAAUAGUCAAUCUCUAACUUCAUAAUAGAAAAGAGAAUCGUGGAAGGGAAUAAACCAAGUACCAAGCAUUCUCAAGGUUUCUAAAAUGCGUGUGUGGUUUCUGGUUCUCUAUCCGUCAACUAGAAACCCAAAUAGUCAUCGAACUUCAUAUCAGAAAGAGAAGAUGAAAAUAAAAAGGCCAGUGGUGAUUGUGGUAAGGAAGAAACCGUGUCCAAAGCGUUCUCAAGGUUUCUAAAAUGCGUGUGUGGUUUCUAGGUUCUCUACUCGUUAUCUAGAAACCCAACUAGUCAAUCUCUAACUUCACAAUAGAAAGAGAAUCGUGGUAGGGAAGAAACCAAGUACAAAGCGUUCUCAAGGUUUCUAAAAUGCGUGUGUGUGUGUGUGAGUUCCCGUUCUCAAAUCUCUAAGCAAAACUCCAAACAACACUCCAUCACGAAUCCGGGAGAUCACGUGAGCAACACCACAACACAGCCAGUCUAGACCCUAACUUAGUGGACUGGAACCUGUGUUGGGGCGAGGGUAGUGGUGUUGCUGGCCGCUUAAGUGACGAGGGAGCCUAAUUGUGUGGAGCCAGGCACGGAGGAGGAGGAGGAGGAAGAAGAGGAGGAGGAGGAGGAGGAGGAGGGAGAGAAGUUAGGUAGGGAAGCAUAGAGGGUUUAAAGGGAUUAGAGAAAGAGGGGCGUUCGUGUGUGUGUGUGUGUGUGUGUGUGUGUGUGUGUGUGUGUGUUUCAUUUACUUAUGCAUGUGUUACUGUGUGU